Molecule: long non-coding RNA, 20449 nt
Filed under: Lynx pardinus (Iberian lynx)
Lineage: Eukaryota; Metazoa; Chordata; Mammalia; Carnivora; Felidae
Source: RNAcentral
GCUCUGCGUCUGGUCCCUCAGGGCGAGCGUGAGCCUGGGAGAUGGCAGUGAUGGAAAUGGCCUGCCCAGGCGCCCCUGGUUCGGCGGCCGGGCAGAAGGAGCUCGCCAAGGCCAAGGAGAAGACACAGGCGAUGGGCAAGAAGCAAAACCCCGCUAACAAGCUCGAGGCCGUAGAGAAGAGCCCUGUGUUCUGCGGGAAGUGGGAUAUCCUGAACGACGUGAUCACCAAAGGCACAGCCAAGGAAGGCUCCGAGGGAGGACUGGCCGCCAUCUCCAUCAUCGCGCAGGCCGAAUGUAAGGGCCCGGGCUGGGGACAGAGAGGGCAGGUGGGCGGGCCUACAGGUGGGCACGGUCCCUGUGCCAGGGUGGCACGGCGCAGGGGUGGGAGGUCAGGGCAGCGGCUCUCUGAGAUUUUCACAAGACACAGCCUGGGGGGUAGGCCAAGAAUGAGUCGAAGCAGGAGCCGUAACGGUGCCGGGGAACAGAGCACAGAAGGGAGGAGUGGCGCAGGGAGGCGUUUGCCCGUCACGACCGGAGCAGGGGAAGAGAGCUGGGAGGCUUCACAGGUCCUAGGGCUCUUGGCAGGAUCGUCUGGCAGGCCAUUAGCCUUGUGCUGUGACCUUGGGCAGCCUGAGCAUCUCUGGAGAGGCCCCAGACAGGAAAGGCCAGGUCUCCUGGAAAGCCCCUCUGGGGCCUGUAGGCCCUUCACCACCUUCCAUGCUGAGGUGGCCCCACCCUAGAGAAUGAACACCUGCUCUUGGGCCUGCUGAGCCAGUUGAGGGGACAUAGGCCACUCCAGGGCGGGGCCUGGUCUGGUCCUUUCUGCUUCCACCCAAGAUACUUCAAAAUGACUCUGCCUGGUGACUGCCACCAGAGCCUGAGAAACCCCCAGGUGCCUGGGUGAGGCCAGAAGCCCUCCUCUCUCUCUCCCCUGCCCUCCAAGAGGCUUUCUCGGGGGAGAGCCCGGCAGCUCGUGGUGGCAUUUUCCCACCUAUACACAUCUUGCCCUGAGUUCCGCUUCCUUCUGGCUGGUUUUUGAGAAGCGAUGAGAGAAUACAAAUUAAAAUGGAGUGAGCGAGAUGCCCGUGGUCAUAAUACACGCAUUUACACACAUAACAGACGUCCACAAGAGCUGAUACUUACUGAACUGUUACUACGUGCCCGGCACUCUGUUGGGUGUGUUAUGUGUUAUAUAGAUCAUCUCAGUUAAGGGCCACGGUGAAGUGAGGUGGGCACCCUUAUCACCCCCUAUUAUCAGCAUGCCCUUUGCUCUUGUUGGCAGGGGGGGUGGGCCAGCAGGCAGGUGGCGAGGCCGAGGCACGGCAGCCCAAGAGGGUAUCUGUAAAAUGUCUGUCUCCUCAGUGCCGAGUCCCUCUUCUUCCGCUCCUCCUUUCUGCCUGUCCAACCUCUCUUUUCCUUGACUCACAAGGUGAGAACAGCCAAGAGUUCAGCCCUACCUUUUCAGAGCGGAUUUUCAUCGCCGGGUCCAAACAGUACAGGUAAGGAGGCCAGCUUGCAUGGGGCCCAGGGAACUGAAACCGCGUCAUCCCUCCUCCCCCAGCUGCUCGCUCAGGCCGCUCCCAAGUGACCCCUGGCUCCCUCCUCCAGCACCUGUGGUUCAGCUCUUGGAGCCCGCCCAGGUUUUCCUGGCUGAACCGCUCUGUCAGCCAAAGAAGCUUUUCAAAAGCUUUUCAUGGCGUGUGGAUGACUGCCUCUGGGUCCCAUCAGCUUGACGUUUUAUUUUUAUUCUCCUCGGAGUCCUUGCUGCUCCCCCUCGUUUCCCAUCAAUAGGGAGGGUGCUGGGAACAGGAGUCUUUUUCCCACUGGUGCGUGACCAUGAGUGCAGGCGCCGAGGGGCCGCUCGAACUAUGAGAGAAACCUGCUGGUGUCUUUUCCCCUUCGAGACACACCCAAGGAGGGAUGAAGGUUUGGGAUCAGAAAGGGACCGACGGAUUCACAGCUGGGGGGCCCCGUGGAAAGGAGGCUAGAAGGGGGCUCAGUCUGCUCCCCGGGCUCCCCAUCCCCAAAGAUGGUUUUUGGCCAACUGCAGGUUGAACCUGGAAAACAGUUCCCUCCUCUACCAACAGACGGACUUUUUUAUCAUGGGGAUUUGGAAAGCGUUCGUGAUGAAAAGGUUGUGGGGAAGGCUGCUGCUUUUGCACCAGGAAAUGUUCAGUGUUUGAUCCGAUUCCUUAUGCCGCCCCAGACGCCUUUCGGCCCAGAGUAGGGGGUUUCUGAUGGGCCCAUUUCUUUCAGGUGAUGGGAGAAGCCCAUAGGCCUCUAGCAGUCCCCCCCACCCCACCCCCCACCCAAGACUGGUGUGAGUCUGCCUCCUUUGCGGGGGGGCAGAAGAUGAGGCCAUUUGGGGGGGGGGGCAGCUAAGGUUGCGGCUUUUUCAGACACUAUUCUGUGGCCAAUGCCUUAAUGCCUGGCAGGGGGAAAGCCAGCUUGGAUCCAUGGUGGUAGUGAGCCUGUAGGCUGUCGGAGGAGGGGAGGCUCCCCUGAUACCAGGCAUCAGCCCAGCCACGGUGUCUGUUUAUACAGCAACUUACAUUCCCAGAAACCAGGUAUCUCCAGGAACCAGUGCCGGGGGGUUGGUGCCCAAACUCAACCGUCCCUCCGUCCAGAGGCAACAGAAACAGACUGUUGUCAGAGCUGAGAAUGCCCGCUGGGGAGUGUGGCCCUCCUAGCCACACGCCCCCCGACCCCGGGACCUCUCCAGGGGCAGCCCACCCUGGAGAGCGGUGAGAGAACCUCACGUCCUCCCAUUCCCGGCCCCCCCCCAGAGAGCCGUGUGCACCCCAUCACGGUAGUAAUAGCUGCUGUCUAUCGGAAGCUUGCCUUGGGAUCAGGCGCCGAGGUAGGCUUUCUAAAUGAGCGGUUUCCUUUAAACCUCAUCUUCCUCUGCAUGGCAGGAAAUCCUACACCCAUUUUAUAAAUGAGAAAAUGGAGGCUCCUUGGGGCUUAGGAACUCACCCACGUUCACACAAGGACUCCCUGGGCUGGGAUCUGAGCUCAGGUCUCCACGACUCUAACUGCAGUUACCCGAGCUGUUCCGCCUUCCUGCCUCCUCACACUCGACGUGCGUAUCCGUCCCUUUUGACAGCCAGUCCGAGAGUCUCGAUCAGAUCCCCAACAAUGUGGCCCACGCAACCGAGGGCAAAAUGGCCCGUGUGUGUUGGAAGGGGAAGCGUCGCAGCAAAGCCCAGAAGAAACGCAAGAAGAAGAGCUCCAAGUCCCUGGCUCAGGCGGGAGCGGCCUUGGCCAAACCCCUCCCCAGAACCCCGGAGCAGGAGAGCUGCACUGUCCCCGUGCAGGUGAGCCCCGCCAGCGCCCCCCAGACCCCAGGCUCGUGGGGCCUUCGGGACGGUGCCCGUGCCUCAGCCUGGCCCUGUGUAUGUACUACCACCUGUGUUUUCCCCCACAGGAGGAUGAGUCCCCACUGGGCCCCCCAUAUGUGAGGAACGCCCUCCAGUUCACCAAACCUCUGAAGGAGCCGGGCCUCGGCCAACUCUGUUUCAAGAAGCUCGAGGAGGGCCUGCGGCCGGCACUGCCUCGAUCAGAACUCCACAAACUGAUCAGCCCCUUGCAAUGUCUAAAUCACGUGUGGAAACUCCACCACCCCCAGGAUCUAGGCCCCCUGCCCCAGCCCGCUCACCCCUUCCCCUACAGCAGACUGCCCCAUCCCUUCCCGUUCCACCCUCUCCAGCCCUGGAAACCUCACCCCUUAGAGUCCUUCUUCCUAGACAAACUGGCCUGUAUAGACAGCCAGCAGCCCCUGUCCGGCCCCCACCUGGGCAAACUGGCCUGUGUGGACGGUCAGAAGCCUGUGCCCGGCCCACACCUGGAGCCCGGGUGCCCAUCCCGGGGCCCGUAUGACAAGUUUUCUGUGGAGGAGUACAUGGUACACGCCCUGCAAGGCAGUGUGAGCUCAGGCCAGGCCCACAGCCUGGCCAGCCUGGCCAAGACCUGGUCGGCAGGAGGUUUCAAGCCCCAGAAGCCCAGCCCUGAAACGAUGGACAGCGAGGGGGUCCUGCUUACAGAGGUAAGCCAUCCCCCAAACACAGGUACAUGUACCACCGGCUCUGGGGCCCAGAGCAGCAGCCGGCCGUCAGGCGGGACCUGUUCUGGGGGGGGGAGGGGGGGGGGCGAAGCAUCACUGGAAACCUGCCAGACCCUUUUUACUUCCCACCUUUGCGGGGAGUCGGGGCGGGGGGGAGUGGGGCGGGGCAUAGUCUUCACUCUGUAUCGAAGUAUCUGUAUCGUCAUCAGAUAGUCGGAAAGUGCUCAUCCCUGUCAAGAGGCGGUAUCCCCUGCUCCACCUCCAGAUCAUUCUUCAGGCUUUUUAGAUAUUUCUGCUUUGAGUUCUUCUGAAGUUAUUGCCGAACUUAUUAAGUUAUUGCUGAAGAGUGUGUGUGUGUGUGUGUGUGUGUGUGUGUUGAAUGAUACACAUACUGAGAAAGAGGAAUAAGCAAGCAUCAACUGCACAUGUUCCCUCCUGACCCCUGCUAUGAAAGGCGAGGAUUUUGACCAUCUGCAUAUCCCCCUGGCCUUCCUCUUUCCCUCCAGUGCUCUGCUGGAGAGCUUUAUAACUCUAAGAUGAUUUUACCAGACUUCAAUUUCUGGGGUUUAUUCCAUCCAUCUUUGACAUGAUCCCUUGUCCCCCACCCCUCUUCAUGGUCCCUUCCCUUUCUUCUACCUUAUAGCUUCGGAGCUAUACUUUUGGUCAUGGUUGUUGAUAGUUCCAUUUUUUUAAAGUUUGAUUUAUUUAUUUUGAGAGAGGGGUUGGGGGCCGGGGGUGGGGCAGAGAGAGAGGAGAGAGAAUCCCAUGCAGGCUUCGCCCUAUCAGUGCAGAGCCCCGUGCGGGGCUCAAACCCAUGACCUGAGCCAAAGUCAAGAGUCAGACGCUUAACCGGCUGAGCCUCCCAGGCGCCCCGACAAUUCCAUUUGUGUCCCACAACCGCAAGUCUGGGGAGAAGGAUCUUUCGCCACAAGGGUCGGCUUAGCUUGGGCAGCCGGCGAGGCUGUCCACUGCCUUCACUUUUUUCCUGUAACUCCCUCUGGUCCUGCCCCUGCAGAGCCCUGCCUCAGACCCGGGGGUGUCUUUGGUGGUGAGGGCUCUGCCCCAGCAGCCUGGCAAGGACGACCAGCCAGAGAGCCUUCCUCACUGUAACCCUUCGUCCCGCCCGCUGCCCUGGUCACUGAAACUGGCUUCUGUCUCCUGCCAACCCCAGAAACUCAAGCCGGUGGAUUAUGAGUACCGAGAGGAGGUCCACUGGGCCACGCGCCAGCCCUGCCUGGGCAGAGGCUCCUUCGGAGAGGUGCACAGGAUGCAGGACAAGCAGACUGGCUUCCAGUGUGCGGUCAAAAAGGUAGGCCCGAAAGAAAAAGGUGCGCCUGGGCUCCGGGGGCUGCAGAGGGAAGCCAGGCAGGUGGCCUGUUGUGUUCCUUCUGCUUUCUUUCAAGGGCAAUCACAGGGCAGCCAUGGCUCUGGCUUGUUAACAGAGCCUGGCUGUCGCUGGGCACCCUGGGGUCAGCUGGAGCCGGAAGGGAGCAGUCUCGGUCACAUGUCCCGGCCUGGGAGCUGCACUUGGUGUGCAUGUGUCAGAUGGAGUAUGCAAGUGUGCACGCGUCCUGGGCCACUCCUGAUGCCGGGGCCCUUAGGGGCAAGUCCAAACCUGGAAGGUGUUGGCUCGUCGUGCAAUUCGUGUUGAGCUGAAACCCCUAAACCACAUAGUGGGGCUGCUCACGCCUGGGCCAGAAGGUAAAAACCACCACAACAAUAACCUGCCCCUAACGGGUGCCUCUUGGACGAGGCCAUGCGCUUGGGACGUCAGAUCUGAUUUCGGUUUGGGCUCUGCCUCCUGCUGGCGGGAAUAAUAGGUCCUGGGAGGUGGACCUUAUGAGGAAAUGAGACUUAGCAAGAGACCCAGGCUUGGCUAGCUCCAGAGUCUGGCUACGAUCCACUCUGUAGGAAGUGGGCAGGGGAAGAGACUCAUGGUCCUGGGAAUCGACGGGAGCAGGGGCGUGAAUCGCCUCCCCUGCUCCCUCGUUUCACCAGGGUAGAACCGGGGACCGGAGAAGGUAGCGUGCCUUGUCUAGAACCGUAGAGCUGGGCCUGGAACUGAGGCCUCCUUGUGCCGCAGCAGAACACAGACCUUGGUGCUGGCUCUUGCUCCCCUUCAGGUGUCUUUUCUCCUACCCCCACCCUCAGUUCACCUUGACUGGAAGCCACCUUGUCCUCGGCCCAAACUCAGCCUCAGAGCUAGUGCCCAGGACCGCAAGAGGCUGAAAUGAGAAACGUUUCGAGGGGCCGUUUUCUUGGCCCGUGACAAAAGGAAAUAAGCUAGCUCCCCGGUAGACCUUGUUUUCAAGCAGGUCUUGUCAGGGACCCUCUGCUCCCCCCAAAGGGAAGAGGACCAAAGGCACGCUCAGCCCCGUGGCUGCUUGUGGCUUUCAGCGGUGAGGACGCAAAUUGUGAUGUGAAUACCCUGAAUACCCUGGCUUCCUUGGCUUGUAGGUGGGCCGGGAUGUUACAGUUGGAGAGCUUGGGCCCCCGGGUGAUGGGCUGAGAGGGGGACUAUCCGUAGGUAUUACCCCAAACUUCAGACACACUGUGUCAACGGAGCGGGCCCCACCCCCGCCUCCCCCCGCCGGCCCAGGCACGUGCUGAGUGCCCGCCAGCGUGGGCCGGCAUUUCCCACUGGGUGCCAAGGCCAUGUGCCCUCCCCGGGCCAUCGGAGAAGGCUCAGCUGUCCCUCCUGAAGGCUGGGUGGGAGGAGAGCGAGAGUAUGAAGUGUCCUGGAGUCCAGUGCCCAGCGCUAGGGGAGCUUAGUCACUGGGCUUCUCAGCUGUCACCCUGCUGAGGUUCUCCGGGGUCCCAGGCAACAAGGAAAACAACCCUGAUAUAGUAGAAGACAGAUACUCCAUUUCUCACCUCCCCAAGGCAGGCGGAAAAGUUCCAAGCACAACGAGUAGGCUCCCCAGGGCCAGAACUGGCCGCUUCCAGAAUCUGCCUCCCCGACCCAAGAGCUCAGUGGGGUGGCUUUGGGGCCGCCCACACAGCUGCCAUCGGGUGGGCAGACAGCCCCUCCUUUUUCUCCUUUUUCUGGGGUGGGGGGGCAGGAUGUAGAGCAGGCACUGGGGGAGGGGGCAGGGAUCAGAGGUCAGAGCGGGUCUGUGCACUCUCCAGUGUUCCCUGAGGAAGAUCCAGCAUGUGGAACAACAGCACUUCCUUGGUCCUCCUUCUAGAACAUCCAUGGCCUCGGGUCAGAUGCUGACUGGUCACAAGUCCAGGGUUUAACGCACGGGGGUCUGUUCACUUUGUUAAGGCCUUGUUUGAUCUUUUAAUGGCAAAUAAACACAGGCUCAUUAUAGAAGAUUUCAAAGGAUACCCCAAAACACAAAAGUCCUUGUUGCCCAAUCCCGUUCGCAGAGGCAGCUGCCCUUUGACAUCUUUUUAGACUUUUUAUGCAUACAUAAACAUGUAGUUGCUUUUAUUAAAACGAGACUACUCUAGAGGCUGUCCUGUGCCAUAUGUUCCAUGUGAUCGCAUAUCGUGGACACAGUUCCUUAUUGGUACAUCCAUGUCUCUCUAGUGCUUUUUAUCAGCCGACGUGGAAGUUUGUAUCCUCGCCAGUGGAUGAAUUUAUAGAACGUGUGAACUCCUGGAACUUUGUUCAAUGGUGUAUCUGUGUGUGGCACACACAUUUUGGAUGGGGAAGCAUCCGUUAUCAUGUAUCAGGUGUUAAAGACGUCUGUGGCCCAAAGAGGGUUAAGAACCAUUCAUUUAAGAACAUCUGGCUCCUGCAUGGAGUUCUGGGAGCCUCCUUUUGACUCUGCCUCCGAUCGGGUUAGUGUGGCCUUGGCCCAACCCAGCCGUUACCAAGCACCUGGUCUGUGCCAGAUACGGCGCCAGGGGCUAGAGGCAAAGCUGCGGAAUCCACACCCCCGGAAAGGCUUGGCGACGUUGUAAUGGGGGAUGGACAUUUACAUGGCAUAAAGGUGGUAGAAAGCAGCCGUCAGCAAGGUACACCAGUGAGGGCAGCCUGGACGAGCGCUGAGAAGGGGAUCUAGGACUGAGGGGAGAGUAUCUCCAUGGCGACGAGGAAAUGGGGGGACCCCUCUGUUUAUUUGACUACUGUGCGCCCAGUACUGUGAGUUACUUUUCACGUAUCUUACGUUCCCGGGAUCUUUAAAAGAAUUUACAGAAUUGCUAUUUUCCGCGUUUUUACUGAUGAAAUAAAAUGGAUACAGAUACUGACCAAGAGGGAGAGUUUUAAGAAAGAAAAGUCAAUCCCCAGUGUCAGCAUGCAGGCAGUUAAGCGGGGGAAGUGGCUUGUGGACUUGGCAGUCAGGGGAUUGCUGACUGCGCUCCCACCUACACGCUCCCAAAUGUACGUGAGAACGUCCUGGAUGUAAGAGCUGAUACUCCUGGGAAGGCCUUCGGUGAGGCGGGGCAGCUGGCAUCCCAGAGUCAGGCUUCCCCAACCAAAACCCCACCUCUGAGACUUCCUACCAGUGACCUUGGGCAAGUUAUUUGUCCAGACUCUAGCUUCCUCAUCUGUAAAUUGGAGAUAAUGAGAAUACCACCCCAUAGGCUAUUGUAAGAUGUAAAUAACGAAUGCUCAUAAAGUGCUUAGAAUGGUGCCUCGCAUGUGUUCAGUGGGCAGUGAAUAUUAGUUUUCGUGAACACCCUCACCAUAGUCCAGCCCCUUGCUUUAACAGAUGAGGACCCUGAGGUCCAGGGAGGAGAGGUGGGCCAGCUGGGCGGCCGUGUGCUUUCUCUCCAGCUGCGCCGCUUGGGACUGCCCUUUCUGCUUGCUCUCCCUGGGGCUGGCACAGACUUCUAAAUCACCUUGGGGGCGCCUGGGUGGCGCAGUCGGUUAAGCGUCCGACUUCAGCCAGGUCACGAUCUCGCGGUCCGUGAGUUCGAGCCCCGCGUCGGGCUCUGGGCUGAUGGCUCGGAGCCUGGAGCCUGUUUCCGAUUCUGUGUCUCCCUCUCUCUCUGCCCCUCCCCCGUUCAUGCUCUGUCUCUCUCUGUCCCAAAAAUAAAUAAACGUUGAAAAAAAAAAAAAUUUAAAAAAAAAAUAAAUAAAUAAAUAAAUCACCUUGUGUUUUGGAGUGUCCCCUCUGACCCGCCCCCACCCGGGUCUGGGUGAGAAUUGAAAAAAAAAUUUUUUUAAGAUUUUCAUUUUUAUUUUUUUUUAUUUUUUUUUAAUGUUUAUUUUUGAGAGAGAGACACAGACAUAGUGUGAGCAGGGAAGGGGCAGAGAGAGAGAGAGAGAGAGAGAGGGAGACUCGGAAUCUGAAGCGGACUCCAGGCUCUGAGCUGUCAGCACAGAGCCCAAGGCAGGGCUCACAAACCGUGAGAUCAUGACCUGAGCCAAAGUCAGACACUUAACCGACUGAGCCACCCAGGCGCCCCCUAAAGAUUUUUAUUUUUAAGUAAUUUCUACACCUAGUGUGGCUUGAACUUACAACUCUGAGAUCAAGAGUCAUGGGCUCUACUGACUGAGCCAGCCAGGUGCCCCUGGGUGAGAAUGUUCUCAACAUUACUGGAAUACUCCAGAGGACUUAUGGAUUUCUUAAAAGUUAGGGCAGAGGUUCCCAGCCUUUCUCGGUUUGCAGCCCUUAGUAUCAGUAAUUUUUCAUGACACCCCAGGCCAAAACAAAUACCUAAAAGUUCCAUUUAUUAAAGUAAUUAGGUCAAAUAAUAGUGUUUUUCCUAACAACUUAGUAGUUAUUUGAAUAACAAUACACAUAAGUUGAAAGGAAAUUUCCUUCUGUUCUUAAUCAUAACUACUAACGGGAUGUAUGCCUCGUUGGGCACUGCACAACUUCUCAAAAUUUUGAAAUCAGAUCAGACAUCCUCAGCUUCAUAUCCUGCUUCCUAUCCCCCCCUCAAAGUACUUGUAUCCCCGCAAGCUCCAAAAGCCUAGCUUCGUAAAGAUACAUGGAAAGAAUGGAGCGCAAGCUAAUGUCGAAACUGAACUAUCUUGAGGGAGUAAUUUACGCGGUGUCCCACAGAUAACCAUCAUCCCUGCUCCCCUCAAAAGUAAAACAUCUCGGGGGCGCCUGGGUGGCCCAGUCGGUGAAGUGUCCGACUCUUGGUUUCGGCUCAGAUCAUGAGCUCACGGUUUCGUGAGUUCAAGCCCCAUCUGGCUCUGCGCUGGCAGCGUGGAGCCUGCUUCGGAGGAUUCUCUGCCCCUCUCCCCCUCGUGCUCUCUCUGUCUCUCUCAAAAUAAAUAAACUAGAAAGAAAAGAAAGAAAGAAAGAAAGAAAGAAGAAAGAAAGAAAAAGAAAGAAAGAAAGAGAAAAAGAAAGACAAAGAAAAAGAAAGAAAGAAAGAAAAAGAAAAAGAAAGAAAGAAAAACAUCCUGCAGCACCCUGCCAAGUCCUCUGGGGUGCCCCAAACUGCUUCAGCUCCGUUUGGGAGCCCGAGAGUUAAAGACCUUUGCUAGUACGAGUCCUGAUGGUGAAUUCAUUCCAACUCAGGUUCAGAGCUGGAAACGCUGACAAAGAGUCAAAAUUUCUGCAAGUUGAUUAACCAGACCAGAUACUCUGUAACCAAAAGAGAGAAAUUUUCCACUGAUAGGCAAAAGUCCAAAAGCCCCACAUCGUCAGGGCUCCUGCCAAGUCAGCAUGUCUCCAAGCCAGACUGCCAGGUCCUGAGUGAUUUCUUCCAGGCUGGUUUUGUUGCCACCGGCGCCCCCUGGUGGUACCUGUUAAGACUAACAGGAGAACCAGCGGCAACCGGACAGGAGAGGACAAGUGUCUGUUAGGACUUCUAAGUGUUUAAUAAGUUGCUCUUAUAUGAGCUGGAGGGAGGAAGGGGGCAGCUAACAUUUCCUGAGCACCCGCUGGUUGCGAGGCCUAGCGCUGGGUUAUCAUCCCUCCAAAUCCUCACUCUACGCGGGAGCAGAUGCCACUGUCAUCACCAUUUGCACAUGGAAACACAGCUUAAGGGACACACUCUACCUUUGGAAAUGGCCAAGCCAGAGUCUCAGUCUAGGAUGAUUGUGUCCUAGGCCUGUUUCUUCCCUCCUUGCUGUGCUCAUCCCUACACAAAGGAGUGGGUGGUCCCUAUGGGAGGGACCUUGGCCAAACCCCUCCCGUUAGAAGCCUCCUUUUGCCCAGAUCCCGGGGAAACAGCUGCAAACAGAAUAAACAGGCACUGCUCCGUCUACAUGGGCACUUUAGCCUUCAGGGGAAAGACAAAUAAUUACGAGCUGAGAAAAGUGCUGAGGAUCCAGAGGCACUGACAGAGCCAGGAUCCUUGGCUGCCAUCGGCUCUGGCUACAGAUAAGAUGGAAACCCAGCCUCUGAAGAGUAGACGUGGAUGUUGAUAAACAGAAGGUCUCAUGUCCUCGAAAUGGCCCAGACAUUUGGGCUGGGGCAAAAAAAAAGUUCUGUGUUUGGCAGAUUUGAGGGUGGGAGCGUGCCAGGAGCCUGGAUAAGGGCUGUAGUCUUUGUGAUUCCGUGUAUUUCCACACACAUCAGCAGUGCAGAAUUUUAACCAAGCACUGGAUGUUGAACCUGACCCCCCAGGGUAUACAGUUUAGUCUCUGUGGCUCCAGUAGGCCCACCAGGGCCCUGCCUGGCCUCAGAAUCAUCACUGGGAACAUCAGCAGUCUCUGUGCAGGGGCACUGGGGAACCAGCCCUUGUCCCUCACCCUGACUCACAGCUACCUCUGCGCCCUGCCAGGUGCGCAUCGAAGUGUUUCGGGCAGAGGAGUUGAUGGCAUGUGCAGGAUUGACCUCACCCAGAAUCGUCCCUCUGUAUGGAGCUGUGAAGGAAGGUCCUUGGGUCAACAUCUUCAUGGAACUCUUAGAAGGUAAGGAGCCAGGUUCAGAGCCAAGGGUUGACCUUGGUCCCCAGUUAUUCCAUUUUUAAUCUCUUGACCCUGCGACAUCAGCCGGAAAGGCCUACUUUCCACCACCUGCCCUUUGAAGGCCUUUGCCCGUGGCCUGCUUGCAGGCCUGGAAAUGCACCAUGUAAAGACUGGCCGUUGGUCUCCUAGGUGGCUCGCUGGGCCAGCUCAUAAAGCAGAAGGGCUGUCUGCCGGAGGACCGGGCCCUUUACUACCUAGGCCAGGCUCUGGAAGGGCUGGAGUACCUUCACACCCGAAGGAUUCUGCACGGAGAUAUCAAAGGUGAGGCUUGUGCCCCCACCGCCCUGGUCCCCAGCGGCCUCCUCCUUCCUUACCUCAACCUGCCUGACCUCCUCCCAGAUCUUCUGGGCCUGCCUGACCGUCCCCAGUGGCAGGUCCCACGUCAGGCUGGCAGGGCUGUGCUGGCAGGAGGGGGAAGUGUGUUCCCCAGGCCCUUAGCCCGGCACCCUAGUUGCCAGUGGGCAGUGCCUGCAGAGAACUGCAGAUGGAGUUCCUAAGCACUGGUGACCACUGGGGGAGGGUGGGGGCAGCAGAGCUGAGUGGCAGUGUCCCAAGAGUAAACUGUCCCCAGACCUCAGAGAUCCGCCUGCUGCCUGCCUCUAGCCCGAACUGAUAAACCUCCUCCCUUCCUUAUGACUAAUAAAACUAAUCAGAAGCAGGCAGCUGUCAUGUAGGGUCAGCCAGAAACUGCCUCCCUGGAGGUCCAGAUGGGGCUGGGGCCUGGAGUGACUCACCUGUUCCUCUUCUUCUCUGGGGUGGCCUGGCAGCUGACAAUGUGCUCCUGUCCAGCGAUGGGAGCCGUGCAGCCCUCUGUGACUUCGGCCAUGCUGUGUGCCUUCAACCCGAUGGCCUGGGGAAGUCCUUGCUCACGGGUAAGCCCUGCCUCCUGCCUCCCUCCCCCACGAUGACAGUCACCACUAGCCUUCACGAAGCAUUAGCCUUCUCCUGUGCUUUCUGUAAUAGCAGUCAGAGGUGUGAACCCUUUUUGUCCACAGUAUUUCAGCCCAUCAACAACCCUAGGUUAGCAGAAAGCUUUUGUUACGCUUAAAUGCAAGAAUGAGUAUCAGGUCCUCGUUUCUGAUAUUCCUGCUACACAGAGAAGGGAACGGAAAGGCUGGCCGCCUCUCAUCCAGCCUUUUCUGGGUGGCUCGGCUCCCAGCCUGUGGCCUCAGCCAUCCUGGGCCUCUGAGCAGUUUCUGGAAGCACAACACGAGGGCUGACCAAGAGGCCUGGGCUCUGUAGCUGGAGAAGCAUCUGUUUUUAACUUAAAUCUUCUGAUUAGUAAAGUAAUCCACAUCCAUUGUGACAUAUUUAGCAACUACAGAGUGAAGUGGUGUAGAAGAGGAGGGAAAAAGGAGCUACCCUGUUCCUCUUGCCCAGAGACAUAAUCACAAACAUUGUAGAUCACUCCUUCCAUCUCCUUUUUUUCUUCCUGUACCUCGUUAAGGCCAUUAUAACACAAUUCUGCUCUUUUUUCAUUUAUAGCGUUCUGCAUAAGGUUAUUUCCUCUUGACCAAAGGAAAAUCAACCUCUUAUUUAUUUAUUGAGAGAGAGAGAGAGAGAGAGCAGGGAAAGGGCAGAGGGAGAGAAUCCCAAGCAGGCUCCACAGUGUCAGCACAGAGCCCCAUGUGGGGCUCAAACCCACGAACUGCAAGAUCAUGACCUGAGCCGAAACCAUGAGUCAGACGCCCAACCGAGCCACCCCGGCACCCUAGGCAAAAACCUUUUAGAAGUGAUUCUCUGACAGGGCACCUGGGUGGCUCUCAGUUAAGUGCCAGACUUCGGCUCCGGUCAUGAUCUCAUGGUUUGUGGGUGCCAGCCCCGUGUCAGGCUGUGUGCUGACAGCUCAGCGCCUGGGGCCUGCUUCAGAUUCUGUGUCUCCCUCUCUCUCUCUGCCCCUCCUCUGCUCACCCUCUCUCUCUCAAAAAUAAAAAGCAUUAAAAAUUUUUUUAAGUGAUUCUCUAUCAUUAGAGGACUAUCUUGGUCAUUCUGAAGAUGUAUAUUGAAAACAGACACCUGCCUGUAUUAUGAAAAUAAUUUCUUUUCUAAAAUCUUUUGCAGAAAGUAGAACUAAGCUAAAAUAAAAAAUACAGAUCACCAGAGUGGGGGAAACAACUUCCUAUCUGGUAUCGAUCCUUCUAGUCUGCCUAGAAGUUUGUUUGGUUGUUUUUUUGUUUUUGUUUUUUUCACUUGCUAACAUUGCAGGAACAUCAUAACCAUUAAUUAGUCUCCUGCCACAUAAUUUCGAACGCCCAGGCCCCUCCCCAGUGUUAAAAAGCACUCUAAGAGUUUGGGCCAAUGGGUAGAGCCCAUAUUUUGGGUGAUGCCUUCUUUGUGCCAGUCUCCAGGGGAGCCCCUGACUUAGCUCAUCCCCGGCAGAUUUGAGCUGGAGGCUUUCUCUCUACUCGAGGCCCAUUAACAGAGACAAAUUCAAGGUAUCCCGGGAAUUGACUGGUGUGGUCACUGCCAAGGCUCUUGCCCCCCAGAGUUCACGGUUGGCUUUUCCGCCUCACCUCACCCCCCUCAGGGGACUACAUCCCUGGCACAGAGACCCACAUGGCUCCAGAGGUGGUGAUGGGCAAGCCCUGUGACGCCAAGGUGGACGUGUGGAGCAGCUGCUGUAUGAUGCUUCACAUGCUCAACGGCUGCCACCCUUGGACCCAGUACUUCAGAGGGCCACUGUGCCUCAAGGUCAGUGACAGCAUGCGGGAGGGCCAGGAGGCCCACGGGCCCGGGGCUGCAGACUUGGGGCGGUCCCCAUUUUGGCUGCUCUUCCGUGGCCGAUGGGAACAGGAAGAGGCCUCAUCGUAAACGUGGGAGCCUCACUAAAACACUUGCCACCCAGAUCGGUGGGCCCAAGGGGACAUCCCAGGUGAAGGAUCUCCUUAGGUUCAUGGCAGGUCAGCGCUGUCUUCCACUCGUACGCUGGGUGCUGGGAAGUGAGCGUUGCCUUCUGACCCACAGAUUGCCAGCGAGCCGCCGCCUGUGAGGGAGAUCCCACCGUCCUGUGCCCCUCUCACGGCCCAGGCCAUCCAGGAGGGGCUAAGGAAAGAGCCUGGGCACCGCGCGUCUGCAGUGGAGCUGUGGAGGAAGGUCAGCCUGGCCCUGCAGCAUGGUAAGAACCCCACACUGGCUGCAGGGGUGAGAGAGUCAACACGGCCCAUACCGACCCAGCACCAAAGAGAUUCUCGCUGGGACAUGCCGGAGGGCCCGCACUGCAGGGUCGUUUGCAGGAGAGGAGUAGGCUCAGUGGCGGGUCCCUUGCUGGGAGACUGGAAAGGCCAGAGGCAAGGGUGGUGGGCAGGGUGGGCCCCAUGGAGCACCACUCAGCAGUUAAAGCAACCCAGUGGCGCAGAGCAACCUGGCUGGAUUUUGAAACCGUGGUGCGCUGGGCAAAAAGGAGACGGACAGAGCGAGGCCUAGAACACAAUACCUUUUUUGUAAACGAGAUAUUGAAAAAUAAAAACAACACACAGUUUGCAAGAACACGAUCGAACCCAAAGUGACACAGCAAAUAGAGGGUCACGGGGCGGGGGGGGGUGGGCGGUGCAGGGGAGAGGCAGUGGUUAUGGGAAUGAAAGGGGAAUACAUAAAACAGGAGAGAGAUCCUGAAUGCCCCCCCCCCACAAAACAUAGAUGAACUGCCCCCCCCCCCCCCNNNNNNNNNNNNNNNNNNNNNNNNNNAGAUGGGGGCGGGGCGGGGCGGGUGGUCAAGGAGGCCAGCGUACAUGGGAACUCAAAGUUGGUGUUACCUCGGAGCUGUUUUUAAAUCUUUACCAUUUACAAAGUCCUUCUCUGGAGCCAAUUCUGGCAUUUUUAAAUUUGUGAUGGUUACCUAGAAGGAAAAUAGAAUAAAAGACAGAAAUACCAUCCUGCUCCCACUGUGGGAGGCCGUCUUACGGAAGAGGCCGCCUCCGAGACCUCAGCGUCCCCUAGUGGGGCAAGGGCCCUCCGUCACUGCUUGCCUCCAGCCCUCUGCUCGGGAAGGGCCACCUGGCCGGGCCUGUUUCCACCUCACCGCCUGUGCUCUGUUUUGUAGUGGGAGGUCUGAGGAGCCCUUGGAGAGGAGAGUAUAAAGAGCCAAGACAACCGCCGCCACACCAAGCCCAUCCGCCGCCCAGCCAAGGCCACUCUCCCCGGACGCCACAGGCCCAGCCGAGGGAGCUCUCACCUGGGGCUCCGGGGCCCCAGCCAACCGAGGACACGACAGGCGGGGCCCCUAAGCUCCAGCCUCCUCUACCCCCAGAACCCCCAGAGCGGAACAAGUCUCCAAGCCUGAACUGGGGCAAGGAGGAGUCUGGAACAUGGGAACCAUUACCUCUGUCCUCCCUGGACCCGGCCCCUGCCAAAAACCCCAGCUCGGUGGAGCGGAAGGCGACCUUCCCAGAACAGGAGCUGCAACAACUGGAAAUAGGUAUGGGCGGCCACGGCUGCGACCUCUGGGUCCCCGCGCACAGACCUGGGCCUCCCCCAAGGCCCGGGCUUCAUCCCCUGCGCAGCCAGCGUGCGCUUUCUUCUAGGCCCUUCCCUCAGAGGUCAGCUCCUGCGGUCCGUGCAGCCCCACACACAGCUGGGCCGGGCCACUCCCGGUCUUCCACAGCCAUCCUCUGCCUUCCUCUCCAGAACUGUUUCUGAACAGCCUGUCCCAGCCGUUUUCACUGGAGGAGCAGGAGCAGAUUCUCUCGUGCCUCAGCGUCGACAGCCUCUCUCUGUCAGACGACAGCGAGAAGGUAAGCCGGCCGGGGACCCAGGGCCGGGGCACGGAGCUUUGUGUCCAGCUGGUGAAGGGGCUGUGUGCAAGCAGCGGCGAAGGGAGGCUGGUGGGGGGGUCACCCCUUCCUUUUGGAAGGGCUCCCCACCGGGGCAGGGUGUCACGCUUGCUCAGGAUGAGCCAAUCCGUCUCCAACGCACCUGGGGAACUGGGGAACCGUUUGGCUACUCGCGAUUGUGGGGAUGGAGAUUUGGGCUUGGGGCCCCCUAGAAGUACUCUUCACCCCCCACUCCAGACCCCAGCUUAGCCCCAAAAGUGCCCAGUGGGGCCACGCUCCAGCCCGGGACACGAGCGGUUCCUCGCCCCCGAGCCCUUCCGCCCCAAGCCCCAUCAAGGCCACAGAUGGUUCCCCAAGCCCAGGGGCCCGAGUUGUGCCCCCUCUUGUUUCAGAACCCGUCAAAGGCCUCUCAGAGCUCGCGGGACACCCUGAGUUCCGGUGUGCACUCAUGGAGCAGCCAGGCAGAGGCUCGCAGCUCCAGCUGGAACAUGGUGCUGGCACGGGGACGGCCCACCGACACUCCAAGCUAUUUCAAUGGUACACCCCAAUACUUGCCUGCCCAGCUGCCCCCACAGCACCUGAUCGGCCUGCGACGAGGGAGUCCGAGGCAGUUUAUGUCCCCCUUCUCCUGGCGCAGCGGGGGAAGGGAGAGGAAGGCACCGGGCGCCCGGACUGGAGGAGCCUGGCCACGAAGUCGGUCUAGAGCAAAGGCCCUGAUUGCCCCAGAGCCUUCCCUGGUGGGGCAGUCAGUGAAGGACCUGGCCCCUCAUGGGUUGCCGAUGGAGUUCUAGAAGGCCCCUACUGUGGGGCACAGAGCGGUCUCUCCUGGCCUAGCGUCAAGAAGUAAAUAAUGCCUUCCAAGGGGAACAGGAGGAACGAGGCCUUAUGAGCAUUUAAAAAAAAUUUUUUUUAAUGUUUAUUUAUAAUUUUUGAGAGAGAGAGAGAGAGAGCACAGGUGGCAGGGGGGCAGAGAGAGAGAGGGAGACACAGAAUCCAAAGUAGGCUCCAGGCUCUGGGCUGUCGGCACAGAGCCCGACGUGGGGCUCGAACUCACGAACCGGGAGAUCAUGACCUGAGCCGAAGUCGGCCGCUUAACCGACUGAGCCACCCAGGUGCCCCGACCUCGUGAGCAUUUUGAUCGAGAACUCCGCAACAAGUUUGCUGGGAUCCUCCUCUGGGAUUUAAAGUCAUUAAGACGAGAAAGAAAACAUACAUGGACUUGUUUUCAAGGGUGGCUGCGUAGGCUAUGUCGUGAUUUUGAUAGAACGAGGAUUUCAUCAGCUCCCGCUCUUACCAGGGCCGGUGUGACACAUGGCAUCAAGCCCCCGUGGCCUGGCCGACGGCUGUCCCAACUGAGGGGACAUUACAGCCUAAGUUGCCCACAAUCUAAUUUAAGAGUCUCUGUUUCCACUUCCUUUUUGCUUUGUGUGCAGGUUGGAAUGCUAGUUCCCCAUAAGAGCCAACCUUAGCUCUUUGCAUUGUGCAGGCCAAAUUCUAGAUGUUGACAGAAAAUUACCAGGAAGAGCUAGCAGGCGUAGAACAUUAGGGCCACUCUAGCCUAAAUGUCACAUCGGCUUCCUCACAGCCAUCCUGCGUCCCUCUCCGUGGGGCUCCUUACAGAGAGCCAGCAGCCACUCUCCUGACGGUCACCUUGCCUGCCUUCUAGGUGUGAAAAUCCAAAUACAGUCUCUCAACGGCGAACACCUGCACAUCCGGGAGUUUCACCGGGUCAAGGUGGGGGACAUCGCAACAGGCAUCAGCAGUCAGGUAAGGGGACAGGUGCACACUUAAGAGGCAGAGUCCCAGAAGUCAGUGUACCUGGCCCAGCCCUCCAGGGGGAAGGCUUUUGAAUAAGUAGAAAUGGCACUGUAGGGAAUAGUUGACUUCGGUUAUCCCCCAAGGGCUCAGGGCAAGCCCCCCGGUGGUGACUGAGGGGUCCCCAGGACCUACCCUUGGGCUGGUUGAGAUUCUCCAGAAAGAAAGGCAAGAGUAUGCCUUCGGGACAACCCACCUGGCUGGAGAGAGACCUCCGCUUUGCACUUCUGGGCAGCCCCCAAACCCCAUGCUGCUGUCUCAGGCCUGCUGGUUUGCUCUGCCCCCAGAUCCCAGCCGCAGCCUUCAGCUUGGUGACCAAGGACGGGCGGCCCGUGCGCUAUGACAUGGAGGUGCCAGACUCGGGCAUCGACCUGCAGUGCACCCUGGCCCCUGAUGGCAGCUUUGCCUGGAGCUGGAGGGUCAAGCAUGGCCACCUGGAGAACAGGCCCUAACCCAGCCUUCCACCACUGGCUCCGCUCCACCGGAAGCGGCCUGCCUUCUUGGUGUCAGUGCCGCCCCCGACACACGGGCUCAGCCUGCUCCCGGGGACCUGCCAUCCUGUGGCUUCACUGGUGGGACUAGGGGUGAGCAGAAUGCCUCCCAGGAUCUGCUGUGUCCUGCCUGACCCUGCCAAGAGAACGCCCGGUGCCCACGUGAGGAGGAGGAAGGAGGCAGGAGGCCGCUCCCCAUGGGGAGCCAAAAGGGUCUUCUCUGCUCUGGUCCAAACAAGCUGGCCUGACCUGCUUAGAUCAGUGACCACUUGCUGGCAGUCAGGAUAGAGCAGCUUCCGGCCUGGGUCAGGGAGGGGUGGGCGAGCCCCUCGGCCUCCAAGCAGGUGUGAGGGUGUCGAGUGUCCCAGGACCCACACCCAGGUCCAAUGCAGGAGCGGGACGGCAGGCGUACCCACCCCCGGAUUAGCAGGGAGCCCUCUGACCCCCUUGCCUGGCCAUCGAACCCCCCUUUAGACCUAGCAGCUUUUCUGCCAGAGUCAGGGAGGGAGGAAGGCCGGACACUGGAAGUCUCCCAGGGAGAACUCGCUCGUCAUGUUGUUGCAGCAUAGGUCCUGAGCCGAACUCCGCUUCAGCCAAGGACCAGAGGUGUCUUAAGUGAAAUGGUUCUCAGUCCCCAAGCACAUGUCCCUUUGCCGCCGGCCACCAGUCUUCCCCAGAGCAGCAGGCUCUGAGUCCCAGCACUGCUCCCGGCUGGCUGGCACUCAGCCCCCUCAUCUGUCAAAGUGAAGGGCGACGGGAGCCCUACCCGGCAGGAGCCGUCUGGAGCUGGGGUGUGGCAGAUGUGUGAGAAAGCAGCAGCCGCAGGCACCCCCCCAUCCACCCCACCCCCCAUUCCUCCCGGCCACGGCUUGGAACAUCAUGCACACCAGCUUCCUGAGACACAGCCCCGGCAUCACACUCACACCAGCCCCGCCCUGCCCCUCGUCCAGGGACAACUUGCCAACUGCACUUUGCACUCUGAUGACCUCAAAGCACUUUCACGGCUGCCCUCCAGGAGGGCAGGUCAGUGGCUCUGCACGCGCUAAAGCAGGCCAGGAGAUGGGGUGAAGGGAUUCAAGUCUUGACCUGUCUUUACGCACACGACCCCUCAAACCUCCGUUUUUCUUUAAGAUGAGCCCCACCCCCCACCCCGUUGCCCCAGCCCUGUCUUUUCGUCAGUGGGGGUGCUGAUCAGGACUCAUGUAGCAUUAAUCAACUGUGAAUCAUUGUGUGGGGGCCUGCCAGCCUCCGCUUCUGGGGGUGAGGGGUGGCCCCUGAGAUCCCUCCUUGGGAGAAGCUCGUCCCCGUGUCUUGCCAAGGCGGCGUCUGUCCAGCUAUCCACAUCGAGCCAUUCUCCUCCCCAUGGAGGGACCCCCAGCCCCCAGGACAUGAAGAUCUCCAGCCUUGGUACUGCAGAGUUCAGGUUGUAGAGAACUCUUUGUAAGCAAUAAAGUUUGGGGUGACGACAAGCGUGUUAGGC